UCUCCGUAGGUGAACCUGCGGAGGGAUCAUUACAGAGCAUCAUGCCCUUCGGGGUAGAUCUCCCACCCUGUGUAUUAUAUACCUUUUGUUGCUUUGGCGGGCCGCUGGGCUCACGUCUAGCUACCGGCUCCGGCUGGUAAGUGCUUGCCAGAGGAAAUCAAACUCUGAAUGUUAAUGUCGUCUGAGUACUAUAUAAUAGUUAAAACUUUCAACAACGGAUCUCUUGGUUCUGGCAUCGAUGAAGAACGCAGC
This 252-nucleotide unclassified non-coding RNA is filed under the name uncultured fungus. RNAcentral describes it as "sequence contains ITS1, 5.8S rRNA gene". The stretch from base 204 to 252 matches the Rfam family "5.8S ribosomal RNA", at positions 1 to 49 of the family's 154-position model. Lineage: Eukaryota; Fungi. The record is from RNAcentral.